Molecule: ribosomal RNA, 1505 nt
Filed under: uncultured prokaryote
Description: partial 16S ribosomal RNA
Rfam family: Bacterial small subunit ribosomal RNA
Source: RNAcentral
AGAGUUUGAUCAUGGCUCAGAUUGAACGCUGGCGGUAUGCUUAACACAUGCAAGUCGAACGGUAACGAAGCUAGCUUGCUAGCAGGCGACGAGUGGCGGACGGGUGAGUAACGCGUAGGAAUCUACCUGAUAGUGGGGGAUAGCCCGAAGAAAUUCGGAUUAAUACCGCAUAAUCUAUUCGUAGUAAAGGAGGCCUCUAUUUAUAUGCUUUCGCUAUCAGAUGAGCCUGCGUAAGAUUAGCUUGUUGGUGAGGUAAAAGCUCACCAAGGCGACGAUCUUUAGCUGGUCUGAGAGGAUGAUCAGCCACAUCGGGACUGAGACACGGCCCGAACUCCUACGGGAGGCAGCAGUGGGGAAUAUUGGACAAUGGGCGCAAGCCUGAUCCAGCAAUACCGCGUGUGUGAAGAAGGCCUCAGGGUUGUAAAGCACUUUUAUUUGGGAAGAAGGUCACUACGUUAAUAGCGAAGUGAAUUGACGGUACCAACUGAAUAAGCACCGGCUAACUCCGUGCCAGCAGCCGCGGUAAUACAGAGGGUGCAAGCGUUAAUCGGAAUUACUGGGCGUAAAGCGUACGUAGGCGGCUUAUUAAGUCGGAUGUGAAAGCCCUGGGCUUAACCUGGGAACUGCAUUCGAUACUGGUGAGCUAGAGUGUGAUAGGGGGAGAUGGAAUUAGUGGUGUAGGGGUAAAAUCCGUAGAUAUCACUAGGAAUACCUAAAGCGAAGGCGAUCUCCUGGAACAUUACUGACGCUAAGGUGUGAAAGCGUGGGGAGCAAACGGGAUUAGAUCCCCCGGUAGUCCACGCCCUAAACGAUGUUCACUAGUCGUCGGGAUGCUAGUCAUCUCGGUGAUGCACUUAACAGAUUAAGUGAACCGCCUGGGGAGUACGGUCGCAAGAUUAAAACUCAAAGGAAUAGACGGGGACCCGCACAAGUGGUGGAGCAUGUGGUUUAAUUCGAAAAUACGCGAAGAACCUUACCUAGCCUUGACAUUGAUUGAACGGACCAGAGAUGGACCGGUGCCCUUCGGGGAGCAUGAAAACAGGUGCUGCACGGCUGUCGUCAGCUCGUGUCGUGAGAUGUUGGGUUAAGUCCCGCAACGAGCGCAACCCUCGUCCUUAUUUGCCAGCGCGUUAUGGCGGAACUCUAAGGAGACUGUCGGUGAUAAACCGGAGGAAGGUGGGGACGACGUCAAGUCAUCAUGGCCCUUACGGGAUGGGCUACACACGUGCUACAAUGGCAGGUACAGAGGGCAGCAAAACCGCGAGGUUGAGCGAAUCCCACAAAGCUUGUCGUAGUCCGGAUCGGAGUCUGUAAUUCGACUCCGUGAAGUCGGAAUCGCUAGUAAUCGUAGAUCAGAAUGCUACGGUGAAUACGUUCCCGGGCCUUGUACACACCGCCCGUCACACCAUGGGAGUGGGAUGCAAAAGAAGUGGCUAGUCUAACCUUUGGGAGGACGGUCACCACUUUGUGUUUCAUGACUGGGGUGAAGUCGUAACAAGGUAACC